AUAUUCUGGUUUCUCUUUAGACUGUAUAAAUCUUUCACCUUCU
RNAcentral lists this small nuclear RNA (43 nucleotides) under Cervus elaphus hippelaphus. The record is from RNAcentral. Lineage: Eukaryota; Metazoa; Chordata; Mammalia; Artiodactyla; Cervidae.